UAUAGCCCUGGCUGUCCUGGAACUCACUAUGUAGACCAGGCUGGCCUUGAACUCAGAGAUCUGUAGCUGGAAGUUUUCCUUUGUUCCACCCAGUUCUGCAGUUGCUCAGUCUCAAGUAAACACACAGAAACUUAUAUUAAUACAAACUGUACGGCCUAUGGCUCAGGCUCAUUAUUGACUAGUUUCUGUAACUUCAUUCAACCCAUUUCUAUUAACCUAUGUUUUCCACAUGGCUUACCAGUACUUUCACGUCUUCCUUCUUGGGUGAGUCGGGUCUCUCCUGACUCUGCCUUUCUUCUCUCUCUUGCUCUCUUGGAUUUCCCACCUGGCUAUAAGCUUUCUUGUCAUAGGCCAAAACAGCUUUGUUUAUUAGUCCAAACAGCUUUAUUUAUUAGUCAAUGGGAGCAACAUAUAUUCACAGCACUUGCCCUUUUCUGUCUAAUCAAAAAGGAAAAUUUUCAUUUUAAUAUAGUAAAAUUACAUGUAACAAAACAGUUAUCAAGCAAGAAUUAUAGUCACAAUAUCUAAUUUAUUUAUAUUUAGCAAAAUUAAAGAAAAUACUCUAUCAUGUGUCUUAUUUUUGUGAGUCUAAAGUUUCAUGUCUAAUUUACCCUUUUAUCAUGACUAGGGAAAACAUAAUUAUAACUAUCUGGUCUUCAACCUCAUCAAGGACCUGAGAAGGAUAUAGUAUUACCUGCCUCUGUCUUGCAUGUGGUGAGAAAGGCUUAUCAGAGUUCUCACAUUAUACCUGGAGUCUCACCAUCUCCAUCUCGUUCUCUGAACCCAAGUUGUGAUGCCCCAGCUUUUCCCAUGAAUGUGUCAUCCGGUUUCUGCCUACAUGAGACUCCUUUUCCCGGUA
This is a long non-coding RNA of Peromyscus eremicus (cactus mouse), 859 nucleotides long. RefSeq lists it as uncharacterized. The record is from RefSeq and is a predicted model, not a curated record. NCBI's taxonomy places the organism in Eukaryota, Metazoa, Chordata, Mammalia, Rodentia, Cricetidae. The transcript has 2 exons.